Molecule: ribosomal RNA, 253 nt
Filed under: uncultured bacterium
Lineage: Bacteria
Description: partial 16S ribosomal RNA
Rfam family: Bacterial small subunit ribosomal RNA
Source: RNAcentral
UACGUAGGGUGCGAGCGUUGUCCGGAAUUAUUGGGCGUAAAGAGCUCGUAGGCGGUUUGUUGCGUCGGCCGUGAAAACCUGCAGCUUAACUGUGGGCCUGCGGCCGAUACGGGCAGACUUGAGUUCGGUAGGGGAGACUGGAAUUCCUGGUGUAGCGGUGAAAUCCGCAGAUAUCAGGAAGAACACCCGUGGCUAAGGCGGUUCUCUAGUACGGUACUGACGCUGAGACGCGAAAGCGUGGGGAGCGAACAGG